Doryrhamphus excisus (bluestripe pipefish) is the source of this 2307-nucleotide long non-coding RNA. RefSeq lists it as uncharacterized. NCBI's taxonomy places the organism in Eukaryota, Metazoa, Chordata, Actinopteri, Syngnathiformes, Syngnathidae. The record is from RefSeq and is a predicted model, not a curated record.
AGUGGAAAGGAAACAAACGAUCCUACACGUUUUAGCCUCCACUUUUAGUGUUAUUACUUAAUUUUUUAGGUUAAGGAAUGGUAGAGUCCCCCCCACCCUCCAUGAAUCCGGAAGUAUAAUGCUAAAUAUGGACUGGAAAGCGGAAGUAAUACGCCAACAAACACAUGAACGCGGAAGUGGAAAGGAAACAAACGACCCUACAAGUUUUAGCCUUCACUUUUAGUGUUAUUACUUAAAUUAGCAUGUUUACAGCAAAGACAAUUGACAUGACUGUUUGGAACAUCACUAUAUUGUGCACCAAAAGCUGGUCCAGAAAAUCUGUCAUCUGCUGGUGCUGGUAUUGAUACUGCUGUGGCUGCUCCGGUCCCCGGUUCUGACUCUUCCCCCACGGCCCCUUCUCUCCGAUCCGCCACCGCGAGGUGCCGUGUAGCCCUCCACUCGGAGGCCGGAGUAGGAGCUUCUCGACGCGGGACAACUGGGACGCGGCCAUCGGCAACUGUCGCCGCAUGAACAACCGCAGGAAGGCCAUCACAUCACUCGCUAAAUCUGUGUGAGGCGGAAAAGUAUCAACACGACCUCUGAGUGACCUCUGAACUCUCACACAAUCGACGAGUAACCGGGAAGAGUGGGUGCCACGCUGUAAACUGGGGAAUCUCACAUGGGACUUUGUGUGUUGACAGUAGAGUCUCUUACAAGGCCAGACCUUUGAUGUGAUGCACAGCUGACCUUCUGCUAGUUGCACACUACUGUGUCGAAAACAAUAGGACAGCAGUGUUUGUAUACACAAAUUCCCUACUUACAAUUAGAUAUUCAGAGGAAAAAAACAUGGUCAUAGACAAAGGAAGAGGGCGGAGCAGGUGACACAAGUCACUCAAUAAAUGAACAUGAAAAGUAACUAUUUUUUAUUCCGGUUGUAUAUCUUAUUAUACUUUCCUUUAGAAGUGUCACAUUUUUAAUAUACUGUAUUUCUCGUGGUCUGUUGCAUAUAUUAUUUUGACCCAGUGUAGUGUCCUAGUCCAGCCUAGAUUUACAUAUCCAUUGAAAGUCAUAGUUUUUACCAUUGUCUUUAAUUUGUAAAACAACAUAUCACUCAUGCUUAAUCAAUGACAAAUAAAAAAAAAGUGAAAUAUAAUAUGAAUAUCCAUCCUAACCAGAAAAUAAAAACCAUGUAAACAAGGGCACAACAAAUAAUAGUAAUACAUUAAAAAUACAACAUUUCAAAUGAGUUCAACCAGAACGUUUGCACACAAUAACUUUACAUAUACACGAUGCAAUCAUUAUUUACAAACACAAAAUGAAGUAACUUUACAAAAGCUAUGUUAAAUACGGUACCUAUAUAGAACUACAGUAAUCUACAACUACAGUUAUGCUGUUUCGUGGUUGAAUAAGGCCUUCUUACUUUAAAACAACGUAUGAUUAAGCAGAUUUUUCUGACGAAAUGAAGCAUUUUCAAGCCGAAAAAUAUCUAAUUGACCUACAAUACAAAUAUAAGGCAUUUAGAAGUUGCAUUCAAAUACAUUGUAUCAGUAAUGUUUUUAUUGUACAGAACAAGAAGUUUAAAAAAAAAAGGGGAAGAAACUUUCCCAAUAAAAAUAACCAAUUACCUAAAAAUGUCAUCCAAUACUUCUCUACAAGAGAGAAGAAAUAUGAUCUCAGGGAAGAACUAAAUUUGAAACACUUAUAUGCUAGGACUACGUUAAAAAGCCAUAGCAUUUCAGUAUGUGGAAUCAAACUAUGGAAUGGAUUGAGUAAGUAUCAAACAAUGCACAACAAUGAGCCAAUUCAAGAAACAAUACAAGCAGUUGAUGUUUGCUAAAUACAAGGAUGAAGAGUCUUGAACCAGUCAUGAUGUGCUAUAUAUAUCACUAUAUUGACACUUACUAUGGUACCCAUUAUGUCAUUGUAUGGUCAUAUCACCUCGUACUUCGGUACGAGGUACAUUAUUUAAAAAAAACAAAAAAAAAACAACCUUAAACUGUAUUAUGGAAAGCAGGAAUUUAACAAAUGAAACAGUUACUGAUUGUAAAAGUAAACUGUAUUACGGAAAGCAGGAAGUGAACAAAUGUAAUAGUUACUGAUUGUAAAAGUACCAGAUGGAGGGGUAGGAUUUAAUAAGCUUUGCUUCUUCCUACUCCUUUUGGACAUGUGGAACUGUGAACUGAUUAUGUGAUGCACUCAAUUGUAAUCUGAUGCAUGUUCAAAUGAAAUAAAUCAAAUGAAAUAAAAUUGCCAUUACCAUUACCAAUGCUAAUAUGCAUGAGUCUAUUAUUUAUUUAUGUCUAAUAUAACUUAUUGUCUCUUAUAAUG